UGAUGUAUGUGUGAUGUGGGUGUGUGUUGUGUGUGUGACGUGUGCGUGAUUUUAGUGAUGUAUUUGUGUGUGUAUGUGUGCGUGUGUGUGAUGUGUGUGAUGUGUAUGUAUGUGUGUGUGUGGGUGAUAUGUGUGUGUAUGUUUGUGUGUGAUGUCUGUGUGAUGUGUGUGUAAUUUCUGUGUGUGUGUGUGUGUGAUGUGUGUGUGAUGUGUCUGUGUGUGUGUGUGUGAUGUGUGUGUGAUGUGUGUGUGAUGUGUGUGAUGUGUGUUUGUGUGUGUGUAUGAUGUAUGUGAUGUGUGUGCGUGUUUAUUGUGUGUGUGUGUGAGUGUGAGUGUCUGUGUGAUGUAUGUGUGAUGUAUGUGUGACGUUUGUGUGAUGUGUAUGUGUCUGUGUGUGUGAUGUGUGUGUGUGUGU
This 415-nucleotide long non-coding RNA is filed under the name Lathyrus oleraceus (garden pea). RNAcentral's name for it is "Pisum sativum (pea) long non-coding RNA (PSAT_LNC039683)". Lineage: Eukaryota; Viridiplantae; Streptophyta; Magnoliopsida; Fabales; Fabaceae. The record is from RNAcentral.